AUUGAACGCUGGCGGCAGGCCUAACACAUGCAAGUCGAGCGGAUGAAGGGAGCUUGCUCCUGGAUUCAGCGGCGGACGGGUGAGUAAUGCCUAGGAAUCUGCCUGGUAGUGGGGGAUAACGUCCGGAAACGGGCGCUAAUACCGCAUACGUCCUGAGGGAGAAAGUGGGGGAUCUUCGGACCUCACGCUAUCAGAUGAGCCUAGGUCGGAUUAGCUAGUUGGUGGGGUAAAGGCCUACCAAGGCGACGAUCCGUAACUGGUCUGAGAGGAUGAUCAGUCACACUGGAACUGAGACACGGUCCAGACUCCUACGGGAGGCAGCAGUAGGGAAUAUUGCGCAAUGGGCGAAAGCAUGAAGGAGCCAGGCCGCGUGAGUGAUGAAGGUCUUCGGAUUGUAAAACUCUGUAAGUAGGGAGGAAGAUAUGUGUAUAAAACCGUGCAUAUCUUGACGUUACCAAAAAAGAAAGCCCCGGCUAACUACGUG
RNAcentral lists this ribosomal RNA (484 nucleotides) under uncultured bacterium. RNAcentral's name for it is "partial 16S ribosomal RNA". It matches the Rfam family "Bacterial small subunit ribosomal RNA", at positions 30 to 507 of the family's 1533-position model. The record is from RNAcentral.